RNAcentral lists this long non-coding RNA (5536 nucleotides) under Citrus sinensis (sweet orange). RNAcentral describes it as "long non-coding RNA (CSIN_LNC000387)". The record is from RNAcentral. Lineage: Eukaryota; Viridiplantae; Streptophyta; Magnoliopsida; Sapindales; Rutaceae.
UACCAAAUGCUUAAGGUGGUGAACUGUCAAUUUAAUUUUGCAUCCUUGAUUGUUUGAUGCUCACCUAUUUGAAAUCCUGAUUUAUUCCUGCAUCUUAUAGGCUGGAAUUUCAUCGUACAGACACUUCUAAUUUUUUCCUUUUCUCCUGCUUCAAAUUUAUGAAAGAGACUUGAUAGAAUGCAUUAGAAAACAAUAUAAUUGGUGUGCAUGAGUGGGUGUGCAGAUCUGAAGGACUAUGGCUGCUGAUUGGGGCUGUUUUCUUGAUUCCUAGCUUUGAAAGUUUAUUUUUGUUUGUUCACAAUUUCUGGAUAAUUUCCACAGUAAUUAGCUUGAGAGGUUUUUUUUUUUUUUUUUCAAAUUUAUAAAUCUGAUGGUUGGAUGUUGGUUUUGUGUAGGUAAUACCGGUCAAAUUGGAGAGGGUCUUAUCAGAGGAGGCAUACAUGCUUCUUUAUGCGAGGUAAUGUUGUUGUGCAGCAUGAUUGGUAUAAAAUCAGGAUUUUCUGGUUUGCUGGGGUGUAAAUAGAUUUAGAUUUUUCAUUCAGGCAUUCUCCGCGACCACCAGCUUUGAUAAGAAAUAAUGUAUCUCAUGGUGUGAAGUCCAAGAAAAAGAGCUUGGAAGCUGUUGGCCUUAAUAAUACAUCCAAAAUAAGAUCGAACUCAUAUAUUCCUAGUUUGGAUUCCAAGGCACAGCAGAAGCCUUGUACAGACAGCAAUCAAUUAUUUGAUAGAGAUGAAUGGAAAUUCCGUUCAAUGCAAAGAUCUCCUGCUGUGGAUUCAUUAAGUGAGAGCUCCUCCAUUUUCAGCUGGUCUGAUGUGAGUUCUUGCAGCACUGCAAGUACAAAGGAGUCUUCUAGGAGUGAAGACUUGUCUGAUUUAAUAUUUGGCGAUACACCUAGUUGGUACAGAAGUUAUGGGAUUACAUCAGACUCAAUUGCAUCUUCCUCUUAUCAAAACUCAAACGUAGGAUCAGAAGGGGAAAAUGAUGCUUGGCAGCAUGGCUGGAGAGAAGGCUUGGGACGGGAUGGAAACCCAGCAAUUUUGUUUACCGAGUCAACUAAGCAAUAUAGAAACUUAGGCCACCAGUAUGUUAGUAAUGGUAGUAGUAGGGACAUUGAUUCUGAUCGUGUAGGGUGGGCUCACCCUUCUGAUGUAAGAUUAAGGAGAGCAAAUGGGGACUACAGAUCAGCUCAACCGUUUUAUUGAGGUUUGAGUUGAGAUUAAAUUAAGUUCGAAAAUUAAUUAAUCUAUGGGAAAGUGCUCUCUCUAUAUUUAUGCUCUGUGAGUCACCGUAGUUUGCUAGAAAAUCAAAAACAUUUUACCGUAGAUCGGUGUUUGUUUGAUCUUAAAUAGUGUUGGAAGUUGAGUACUGGUCAAAUAUUAAAAUCUCACAAAAGCUUGCCUCAUUGUUUUGUUUGGCCCAACUUCCGACAAUAGCUAGUAUUUUGGAAAGCAAAACGGUGUCGUAUGAGUGGCCAGGAAAAAAUAAAUAAAAAUGAUUUAAAGGAAGCCGCCGAAAAGCGAGAACCCACCAGCAGCAGCAUUUGAGAAUCUCCUAGAAAACGAAACCAAAGAAACGACAGGCAAAUGCCUGUGGCAUUAACAAUACCAAGCUGCCACCAUUGCUGCCAGAAGCUAAACAAUCGCAUUUCUCCCUCACUAUUUCUUUUCAGCCGCUGCAGUAAAACAAUGGUGACCUCCGGCAGCAGCAGUAACAAUAAUGCAGGCGCUUUCACGACAAUCAAAGAGACAGUCACAUUCGAGAAAGAAAUUAAAAAGAGCAAAUUCAUCGCCAUAGCCGGCCCCAUCUCCAACGAACAAUCUGCCCAAUCCUUCCUUUCGCAGGUAACACUAAUUUAUAAUUAAUCUUCUUCCACAGCUCUCCAACUUGAUUAUCAUAUUUCAAAUUAAUAUCUGGUGAACGUUUCUUUUUUUUUUUAAUAUUUAUUAUAGGUCAGUGAUCCUCGUGCUACUCACAAUUGCUGGGCAUAUAAGGUAUUAGGCGCUUACAUGAUCGUUAAUCUUGAGUUUUCAAUCUAAUAUUUUCAGGAAUUGGUUUGAUUGUUUAUUAUUUUAUGUUAAUUUUAUAGGUUGGAAAUCAAUACCGGUCUAAUGAUGAUGGUGAACCAUCGGGAACAGCUGGCAAACCUAUUCAUUCUGCAAUUGUUUCUUCAGGUUUAGAUAGAAUCAUGGUUGUAGUCACAAGGUAUUUUUAUUAUUAUUAUUUUUUAAUCUCGCGCGUUCAUCCUUUCAAGUUCCGUUCUUUUAUACAUGUGCAUUAUUACAUGUUGAAUGAAUUGACAAUCUGCAGGUAUUUUGGAGGUAUAAAACUGGGUACUGGGGGACUAGUUAGGGCUUAUGGUGGAGUGGCAUCCGAAUGCUUAAGAAAUGCUCCUACAAUUCUUGUGAAAUCUAGGGUAAUUCAGUCCUUUCUCAGGCUUUUUUUUUUUUUUCAUAGAACUAAUUUAUGCUUAUGCCAUACAUUAUGGUUAAUUUUCUACUAAUUUGAUUUCAUGAUUUUUAAUCUUGGAAUUUUGUUUCUAUUUUGUAGGUUCCAAUGGGUGUGGAGGUUCCAUUUGAACUUCUUGGAAUUUUAUACCAUCAGGUAAAUUUGGACUUGUAGUGAUGCUUUGGUGUAAUUUGGAUUUUGCAUUCCACAUGAUUGGAGUGUAAGAAAGAACUUCUAAUUUUUAUUCUCUUUGUUAGACCGUCAUGUUAUGUUAAGUUCAAAUUUUACAGGAUUAUUUGAUUGUAUUUCACAUUUUUUAUGUCCCAUUUACUUCACCUACCUGCUAAGGCUUUUUUUUUUUUUUUUUUAAAUUUAUUCCCUCAAAAGAUCAUAACCUUUGUGAUGUUAAGUGUUAAAAGACCUUCAUGGAAUAGAAUUCUAACUACUUAUGCAGUCUGUAGUCAUUGUGGAUUACUUUUUUGACAAAUGCUAAUUGUUGCCUUAUGUGACCUUUUCUGGCUCUAAAAAAUGGAACCUGUGACCUUCAUGUGGUAAUUUCAGUAUUUUAACUUAUUUCUUAUCUUUGAUGCUCACAGCUGCAAUUGUUUCAAGUUGAGGACAUCAACCAAGAUUAUGACACUGGUAAAGAUGGAAUCACCAUGGUAACUUUCAAAGUUGAUUUUGAUCGGGCUGAGAAUUUGGAGGAUGCUAUCAAAAACAAUUGUAGGCGAGAUCUUGUGUUCUAUAAACACUGAGAACGACUUGGCUAGUUAUCAUAUUUCAGUUUAGAGAUUGCCAACACUUCAGAUUCAAUUGGGGAUUAGUAUGUACAUCUUUUUCCGUGCUUUAAAACAAUUUCUUGUGCUACAUAUGGGAUUUUUUUUUUUUUUUUUGAUUACAUGAGACUAUUGCUCAGAUUACAACUCAUAUACAUGAGACUAUUACUGAUAUUUACAAAUCAGACUAUUACUGGGACCAACUGACAUCAAUGCUAAUGGAGCUCUGCCCAGAUUUUAACCCUCACAAAUAUUCGAGGGAUGUCUACUCCUCACUCAUGGGUAAGGGAGAAGACUACCUUCACUCAAAUUAAUUGAAGAAGGAAAUACCCCCACAAUACUUUUGUGGGGGUUCGAACUGUUGCCCUCCAAGUUGGAGGGCAGCAGCCCUGGCCACUCAGGCUACUGCCCGAGUGGUUGCUACAUAUGGGAUUGAAUAUACUAUUAACUGCACAUUUGCAUAAAAUUAGCUUUGAGAGGUAUUAUCGGUACAGUUAAAUACUGGUGGCUAGUAUUACAUUAUUUUUGGAAAGUCUUGGCUCGCCUGAUAUGUUAAUAUUGUAUAUACAAUUUCAGGUUAAUACUAAUUCUGUUAUUUGUUAUUCAUAUUUGCUUUGUUCAUUAAUGCAUAGCUUUUACUUUCCUUCCUGCAUCAAAUUCAGAUAAGUGAACCCCAAAGAUAUUAUUAAGCCUACUCAGAUUUGCAUUAAAGGAAAGAUGAAGAAAGUCAAGAUCAUCAACCCUUACCUUAAGCUGAGACGUGCUUUAUGGUUAGUCUUGAAAGAUGAAAACUAGUGAAAUGUGUAAAACAAGUAUAUAUGAACCAAAGAAGAUUGAAAAAAAAAACAUGGGAAGGCAGAGACACAAGCAUAAGCACCAUGGCAGGCUCUGCAGGUAUCUGACUUCAAGCUCUUCCAGCAGCAGUAAUAUUGCAUGUCAAGGGCUAGCAGUCAUUUUGACAAGGGUGGGGAGAGGAAUGGAAUGAUUGGUAUUCGUGUUGGGGUAUUGGGGGUUGAAGGGAUUGUUGUUGGGAUAGGAGGCAGAGGAGUAGCUGGCAAUGGGGGUAGUGUAAAAACCUUUUGGGCUGUAGGCAAGGUAGGCAAUGUUGGAUUUGGCAAAGAUGGGUCUUGGGUGCUUGGCAAAGGGGAAGUGUAGGCUUUAGUAGAAUUGGUUGCGUUGGUAAUGUGGGCAAGGGAUAGAGGGAAGUGGCGGCAAUGUGUUUUUUGGGGAGUUCGGAAUGGGGGUAAUGGACGCGAUGUGGCCUUGGGCAAAUAUGGUAUUGUAGGCAGUGUUAAUGCUGGGGAUGUAGUCUCAAUAUAGAUACCGGCAAGCCCAGGCCUGAUUGAGCAUUCUCAUUCAUGGAUCAUCUGGCCUUUUUGCCAUAUACUUUGAAGUUCGAACUCUUUCAACUUUAAUGAGGUUUUGCUUCUAUACAUGUAUCAGUUCUGUUAUUUCUCACCAAUUUUGCUUGGUUAGUUUUAAAAUAUGUUGACUUAGACAGGGAAACAAGUCACAGAAAAUCAUUGAGGAACAUUUCGUGAUUUUAAUUUUUUUUCUUUGUUUUUUAUUUAUCUUUUUUUCACUUGAAGAUAUGGGUCCGGUUAUAUUGAAAGGCCAAUAACAAUGCUCACCAUGAGACUUGCAAUACUUGGUAAGCUAUAAUAUUCGUGAGUUAUUAUAGCCGAUCCUAAGUUAGAGCUAUCUGGUACCAUACAUAUUCUUUGUGAGGAUAUCAGAGCUAAUUACAUGCCGCUUUCAUUUGUGCCAUUUUUUUUUUUUAAAGAUACUUCAAAUUUUUGGUGAAUUCGUUUGAAUUGUCACUUGUGGGUUUCCGGCUGUUGUUAAAGAUACUUCAAAUUUUUGGUGAAUUCGAGGAUAUCAGAGCUAAUUACAUGCCGCUUUCAUUUGUGCCAUUUUUUUUUUUUAAAGAUACUUCAAAUUUUUGGUGAAUUCGUUUGAAUUGUCACUUGUGGGUUUCCGGCUGUUGUUAAUAAGGAGUUGAUCAUACUAAGCUUCAGGAAAACACAGCAGUCAAGGCUGUAUGGACAUUAAUGCUUUUGAUGGUUAAUUUAUAGAUAUUCAAAAAUAUUUGAAUCUCCCAAAUAUUGACAGGUGCAAGAUGGUGCUUUGUUUCCUUUUUGCCUUAACUUCAAGUAAGGACUUGAAUUAAAAAAAAAAAAAAAAAAAAAAAAAAAAAAAAAAAAAAAAAAAAAAAAAAAAAAAAAAAAAAAAAAAAAAAAAAAAAAAAAAAAAAAAAAAAAAAAAAAAAAAAAAAAAAAAAAAAAAAAAAAAAAAAAAAAAAAAAAAAAAAAAA